AAGACUAUAGACCUGCGGAGUACCUGCGGAAGGAUCAUCACCAAAAAUCAAAUUGGGUGUGGAAGUACUCUCCUCCCCUUUGGGGGGGGUGGGUAGGACCCACUCUACCACUUUGUGAACCAAUGAAACAAUGUUGUGUGAAUGGGGAGAGUAGUGUAUGAGAGGGAGGUGGGGGAGUAGAGAUGAGAGGAUCGACGGGUGUGGGUAGUACCACGCAGUCACCAAUCAACUUACCCCUUC
This 240-nucleotide unclassified non-coding RNA is filed under the name soil metagenome. Its description in RNAcentral is "partial contains 5.8S ribosomal RNA, internal transcribed spacer 2, and large subunit ribosomal RNA". The record is from RNAcentral.